GACGAACGCUGGCGGCGUGCCUAAUACAUGCAAGUCGAACGCUUCUUUCCUCCCGAGUGCUUGCACUCAAUUGGAAAGAGGAGUGGCGGACGGGUGAGUAACACGUGGGUAACCUACCCAUCAGAGGGGGAUAACACUUGGAAACAGGUGCUAAUACCGCAUAACAGUUUAUGCCGCAUGGCAUAAGAGUGAAAGGCGCUUUCGGGUGUCGUUGAUGGAUGGACCCGCGGUGCAUUAGCUAGUUGGUGAGGUAACGGCUCACCAAGGCCACGAUGCAUAGCCGACCUGAGAGGGUGAUCGGCCACACUGGGACUGAGACACGGCCCAGACUCCUACGGGAGGCAGCAGUAGGGAAUCUUCGGCAAUGGACGAAAGUCUGACCGAGCAACGCCGCGUGAGUGAAGAAGGUUUUCGGAUCGUAAAACUCUGUUGUUAGAGAAGAACAAGGACGUUAGUAACUGAACGUCCCCUGACGGGAUCUAACCAGAAAGCCACGGCUAACUACGU
RNAcentral lists this ribosomal RNA (507 nucleotides) under uncultured bacterium. RNAcentral describes it as "partial 16S ribosomal RNA". It matches the Rfam family "Bacterial small subunit ribosomal RNA", at positions 28 to 506 of the family's 1533-position model. The record is from RNAcentral.